Apis dorsata (giant honeybee) is the source of this 542-nucleotide long non-coding RNA. RefSeq lists it as uncharacterized. The transcript has 2 exons. Lineage: Eukaryota; Metazoa; Arthropoda; Insecta; Hymenoptera; Apidae. The record is from RefSeq and is a predicted model, not a curated record.
AUUAAGUAUACAAUUAUAUGAUCAUAUCAUAUCGUAUUUAAAAAUUUAUUUUUCGAUAAAAUACAACGAUUGAAUAAUAUUAGAUAUUGAAUAUAAUAUCCGAAAUAAAAAUAUUUCUUUGAUUAUUUUCAUAUUAAUGAGUUUCCUUCACGGAAGACGGAUUUCCGUGAAAGAUAAUAGAAUGAGAAUGAUGGAAAAAGGAAGAGAGUAGAGGAAAAGCGGAGCGAAAACGAGACGAAAAGAGAAUGGGUGUUGGCAUACUCGGGAGCAGACGCAGCGCAGCGAGUGAACGCGUGAGACGGGAACCGGAAGUCUAUUUUCGUGUGCCGCACCGAUUUAGAAAGCUUUAUAGUUUGUACGAGCCUGAACGGCUACAGCCAACGCAUCGUUGAUGUGGCUCGUUGCUUUGAGUGCAUGCACAAAUUGAGAUUUGUGAUUCUCUCUCUCUCUCUCUCUCUCUCUCUUCUCUCACUAUUCUAGAUCUAUCCCAUCCAACUAUUUACAAACAUUAGCCCAUCAAACACAAAAUAGUAAAAUAAUAA